GAGACCCCAUUGUAUGCCGGUGUC
This 24-nucleotide non-coding RNA is filed under the name Gossypium hirsutum (cotton). Lineage: Eukaryota; Viridiplantae; Streptophyta; Magnoliopsida; Malvales; Malvaceae. The record is from RNAcentral.